Anolis carolinensis (green anole) is the source of this 1591-nucleotide long non-coding RNA. NCBI's taxonomy places the organism in Eukaryota, Metazoa, Chordata, Lepidosauria, Squamata, Anolidae. The record is from Ensembl.
GGUUCAGUGUGCUCUGGCUGUCGGGUAAACUACAACUCCCACUACGGCGAGCCAGAUGAAGGGGCGGGGCUAAGAAGCAGCGUCCGUGCGUGCCUCAGAACGGCGGCCAUUUUGAGAGCGGGCUGCGCGACGGGAGGGAAUAGAAAAGGCGGCCAUCUUGAGAGCGGGCUGCGAGGGAAAGUUGGCCGCCAGUUUCUAAGAUGGCGGCGCCGGCUUCCUUUUCUGGUCCUCCUCCGGUUUUCUCCUGAGGUCGAGGCCUCCGUUUCUCCCUCAUCUAAAGGACGCUUUCGAAGAUGGCUUCUUUGCUGCGGCUUCUCCUCCGGGGAAGCUUCCGGAGGUUGGGGCCGAGGGCUUUUCUUGGGCACGGUGCUCUUCGCGGCGUCGGCUCAGGGGCGCCUCUCAGGAAAGGCCCCGGCUGCGGCCUUCAGGGCCUUCUCUCGCAGCUGCUUUCCCCCAAAUCUGGAGAACUCACUCAGUCUGUGCUGAAAAGGCAAACGACUCCCGUCCUCCUCUGGAAACUUCUCAGUGAGUAAGAAAAUUAUUUUUCUUUGCCUUAACAACAACGUGAUCUUUUCCCACAGUUUUUUCUUGCCCUUCCAAAGACCAAAGCGUCAGCCAUUGUUCUCUUCCUUCUGCCCGCUCUUCAGUUUCCUCUCUUCAUGUGUUUUCUGCGCACAGAUCACAGCACAACCUUAAGCUCCCACAAGGUUAAUUUCUUAACUCAGAAUGCGAUUGGGGGCUAAAUUGCUUUCCCCAAAAGAUGAGGACUUUUUCUAUGGAAACCACACUCAGGGUGCAUCUGCACUGUAGACUUAAUGCAGUUUAACAGUGCUUUAACUUUAGUAAAAGGCUUUGAAAUCAUGUAUCUUCUUAGGCCUGACCCCCGUUUUACCCAUAGUGGUUGAUGUCUGUAUUAUUAUUUUAUUUGCUUGGUUAUUUAUGUCUUAUUGUAUGCAAUGUUUUUAAUUGAUUAUUUUAUAUGACUGUUGUAUCUUUGUUCUAAAUUUUUGCCAUGUAUUUUAAACUGUUUAUACUUUGUUUCUGUUUGGGCUGUGCCCCCAUGUUAGCCACCCGAGUCCCUUCGGGGAGAUGGUGGCGGGAUAGAAAAAAUAAAGUAUUAUAUUAUUAUUAACUGCCAUGGCUCACUGCUAUGGCAUCACAGUAAAUGCUAAAGUGCUAGUGCCACACUACACUCUAAAUCCCAGAGCUCCAUAGCAUUGAGCCAUAGCCGUUAAAGUGGUGCCAAACUACAUUCAUUCUACGGUGUAGAUCAGGCAUGGGCAAACUUCGGCCCUCCGGGUGUUUUGUACUUUAACUCCCACAAUUCCUAACAGCCCAAAAACCUGGCUGGUGUUUUGAAGUCCAAAACACCUGGGGGGGGGGCGAAGUUUCCCCAUGCCUGGUGUAGAUGCACCCUCAGCAGUUAGAGAUAGUUUUCUCAGGUCCAGAUCUGUCCCAACACACAGAGGGAUUCAGUCAUUUGCCUUCCCCAGAUCUGCCUUUACACAUUCUCAGUUGAAGUUUUGAAAGCAACACUGCAAGAUGUAAACAUGCCUGUAACAAAGCAUACACAAGAAAGCCAGAGCUGACU